Long non-coding RNA from Gasterosteus aculeatus aculeatus (three-spined stickleback), 2305 nucleotides. NCBI's taxonomy places the organism in Eukaryota, Metazoa, Chordata, Actinopteri, Perciformes, Gasterosteidae. The record is from Ensembl.
UUGAAAAUAUGUAGUAAAAUAAAAGAUUUCUCCCCGUCGGGGAAUCGAACCCCGGUCUUCCGCGUGACAGGCGGAGAUACUGUCCACUAUACUAACGAGGACAGAUGUAGACACACUGAUGAGGUAAAAUGCAAAUCCAAAAUGGCCACCAAAACGUUUACAGCCUAUUGUAGCCCUAUGAUAGUGCAAAGAUGGCAAUUUACUGCCUAAAAGUUGAAAUAUUCGAAGUAUAUGGGAUUUAGCAAUUAAAAAAAGAUUUCUCCCCGUCGGGGAAUCGAACCCCGGUCUUCCGCGUGACAGGCGGAGAUACUGUCCACUAUACUAACGAGGACAGAUGUAGACACACUGAUGAGCCUAUUGUACAGCCUAUUGUAGCCCUAUCAUAUGAACAAGGAGGGAUGUAGACAUACAGGCCCUUUAUAGGCGUUCUUGUGUGGACUUUUGUUCUCGUCGCUUUCGACGCAAGCCUAGAAAAAUGGGUCGAAGCGCGCAAGGAGGUGUGAAAAGGCACGCAAGGGACACGCAAGGGGCUCUUGCGUCUCGCUCUGAAAACGCAGAAGCAUAAACUAGGCUUUAGUCAGCUGCUGUUCCAAUUGCGGAAAUUACCGUUCUCUCCGUUCUCCCGUACCCGUGAGCCAGGACUCCCGAGUCAGUCUCCCGAGUCUAUUCUCGCGGGAACGGAAAGUCCGUUCUGUCCGUCUUAGGUAUUGAGAAAGGGCCAUAUAGAUGAGUUAAACAUUUUGAAAACAGAAUGGUAUCCAAAAUGGCCACCAAAAAGUUCGCAGCCUACAGUGUUUUUGGUUGAACUACGCAGGGUUAGAAGCGUGGGGGGUAAAAAGACAAAAGGCAGAGUACGUGCUGGACAUAUUUCUAGGCAAUCAAAAGAGAAAAUAAUCCAAUUUAAUGCAAAACUAAAAGGACAACGGUAUAUCGACUGAGUUUUUUUUUGUAUGGAGAAAAUUGGACACAUUUUUAACAAUACAUGCUCAGAAGUGCACAAAAUACAUUAAUAAUAAUAAAUAAUAGUGCAGAUAAGAAUAUUUGGUCUCAAAGAAAUAUUUAAAGUAUGUAGGAUUUUGAUAAUAUAACUUUAGAACAAUUAGAAAAAGAAAAGAUUUCUCCCCGUCGGGGAAUCGAACCCCGGUCUUCCGCGUGACAGGCGGAGAUACUGUCCACUAUACUAACGAGGAAGGACAUAUAUAUUUAUAUAAGUUUGGGUUUUAAUUUCAUAGGCAUGUGAAUACACGAUUGAUGAUCACCACUGAAUCUAUAGACUCCAGCGGUUUGACAAUGGAUGGAUGGACCACUAAAGCUGUUUAAUGUUAGUAUCAUAUAGCAGUGAACCAGACAAUGGGUGUUUUGCUUGCAUUGAAAAGGUGUGACGGGCACAAAAUCUAUGGACAACUUUCUUUGACUUUGUUAGUAAUAAUAAAACUUCUGCAGAAGUGUAUUUCUACCGAUGCCGAGCAGGUGGCAGUGCAGCGGUGUUUUGCCGCAUUCUGCGCUGCAGCAUCUUCUCAUGCCGAAGGAGACGUUAAACGUGAGAUGUCAGAGAACUAUUAAAAUAACAAAAUAUAUCAUUAUCAUGAUCAGUAUGACUCAAAUAUUUUAAUAUACACGUUAGUAUAUACUAUAUUAAUGUGUUGCCCUAAAACUGUAUAUAAAAUAACGUUAUAUAAUUAGAGGACACGAGUAACACACCGUGUAGUGUUUGUGACAAUCCUCUCUUUUGGCUGACCUGCAGUUUCAAUAUUAAUGACAAGUUUUCUCCCGUCCGGGAGACGCAGUUUUCACCCCCUAACUUAACACGGAUGAUACGCGAGGAAGAGCCAAAACGUUUUUUACAAGAACAAUCGGUGCGCCAGCGUGUUAGGCCGGGUUUUAUAUCAGAUAACGUUAGCAGAGCUGUCUUAAAAGUAAUGUUGAAGUCAAUUCUAAUGAUUUCAGUUCUGGUUGAUAUGAAAUGGUUUUGUUAGUGAAAACUCGAGAAUUAGACUCGAGAGUUUAUCAGACAAGACCAAACCUACCAAACCUCAAUAUUAUACUACCGAUACCAAAUUCAUAAUACCGUUUUAUGACAUGUGUUUGAACCUUGGGGGCACAUCUCGGAGUUAGCUUAGCAUUUUGUGUGAACACGGCCUAACACGUGUCACUAUGAAAGCGCCGUUCAUACAUCGUUAAAUAUGAACUAAAUUCAUGAGCUACUUCCUUCGACAAAACAUAAACAUAUAAUGAAACACUUUAAAAUCCUAAUUUAAUUGGCUAGCUAAAUUACCAUAACUAGUUAAGUUAGCUAACGUUAGUU